UUUUGAGAGCUUGCUCUUAAAACUUAGUGGCGGACGGGUGAGUAACACGUGAGCAACCUGCCUUUCAGAGAGGGAUAGCUUCUGGAAACGGAUGGUAAUACCUCAUAAUAUACGUUUGCGGCAUCGCAGAUGUAUCAAAGAUUUAUCGCUGAAAGAUGGGCUCGCGUCUGAUUAGCUGGUUGGUGAGGUAACGGCCCACCAAGGCAACAAUCAGUAGCCGGACUGAGAGGUUGAACGGCCACAUUGGGACUGAGACACGGCCCAGACUCCUACGGGAGGCAGCAGUGGGGAAUAUUGCGCAAUGGGGGAAACCCUGACGCAGCAACGCCGCGUGAGUGAUGAAGGCCUUCGGGUCGUAAAGCUCUUUUAGUGGGGAAGAAUCCCACCCGGGCUAAUAUCUCGGGUGGAUGACGGUACCCACAGAAAAAGUUCCGGCUAACUACGUGCCAGCAGCCGCGGUAAUACGUAGGGAGCAAGCGUUGUUCGGAAUUAUUGGGCGUAAAGAGCGCGUAGGCGGUUCGGUAAGUCUGACGUGAAAUCCCGGAGCUUAACUCCGGAACUGCGUUGGAUACUGCCGGGCUUGAGUGUGGGAGAGGAGAGUGGAAUUCCCAGUGUAGAGGUGAAAUUCGUAGAUAUUGGGAGGAACACCCGUGGCGAAGGCGGCUCUCUGGACCACAACUGACGCUGAGGCGCGAAAGCUAGGGUAGCAAACGGGAUUAGAUACCCCGGUAGUCCUAGCCGUAAACGAUGGGCACUAGGUGUUGGAGGUAUCGACCCCUCCAGUGCCGCAGCUAACGCAUU
This 801-nucleotide ribosomal RNA is filed under the name uncultured bacterium. RNAcentral describes it as "bacterial SSU rRNA". It matches the Rfam family "Bacterial small subunit ribosomal RNA", at positions 70 to 861 of the family's 1533-position model. The record is from RNAcentral.